GAACCGAGACAUGGUGGUGGACGACAAUGUUAGGAAAUCUGGAGAUGUCAUCGGGGGCCUGGGAAGAGUUAUCUUUUCUUUUUAACGACUUUCCCACCUUGAAAUCGGUUCAAUCAGAGAUAGGGUCCAACAUCUGGAAGAGAACCACACGUCUUGCGAUGUUUGGUGCCCCCUCAAUGACCAUUUAAAAUAUGGAGAACCGAGUACCAUCCAUGCCCGAUCGUACU
This is a non-coding RNA of Picea glauca (white spruce), 227 nucleotides long. NCBI's taxonomy places the organism in Eukaryota, Viridiplantae, Streptophyta, Pinopsida, Pinales, Pinaceae. The record is from Rfam.